This 248-nucleotide unclassified non-coding RNA is filed under the name plant metagenome. RNAcentral describes it as "partial contains small subunit ribosomal RNA, internal transcribed spacer 1, and 5.8S ribosomal RNA". The stretch from base 1 to 54 matches the Rfam family "Eukaryotic small subunit ribosomal RNA", at positions 1778 to 1831 of the family's 1831-position model. The record is from RNAcentral.
GGAAGUAAGAGUCGUAACAAGGUUUCCGUAGGUGAACCUGCGGAAGGAUCAUUAAAGAAUUGCCCCGUCUUCUCGAAGAUGGGUUCUAUUCCAAACCGUGUUUACAUACCUUUGUUGCUUUGGCGGGCCGCCGCUUCGGCGUUGGCUCCGGCUGACUGCGCCCGCCAGAGGACCACAACUCUUUUGUUUAGUAAUGUCUGAGUACUAUAUAAUAGUUAAAACUUUCAACAACGGAUCUCUUGGUUCUG